UUAAGAAUCGGAGAGACUACACCUUUUAUUUUGAAUGUCGAAAUCUUUAUACGUAAAUGAGUCAUAGCCGUACGAUCACAGGACGUGUGUAUCAUGGUCGUUGGAGAAGAGGCAUAGAAAAACCCUAAAUGAGAAUAAAGUACGGCAACUGAACGAUCAGUGAUCUGACUCGUACGAGCGGUAGAGCGGUGAUAGACUGGAAGUGGAAGUAGAAUUUGGCGACGAUGACGAUGAAUGAGUCGGCAAAUAAAUGCGAGAAACGCACGAAUUAAAUUACAUAUGAAAGGGGGAAGAGGAGGAGGUGAGAGUGGGAGGAGAGAGAGGAAGGGGAGGGGGAUUCAGGUUAUCUUACUGAGAGAUUGUUUGGGCCAAAACUCGACUUGAAGUAUUUAUCUUGAAUAGAUAUACAGUGUGUUUUUUUUUUUAAGAAAACAAACUGAAUAGAUAAAGUUGUGACUUGUGAGAGUGUGACCCCAUGUGUGGCUUUAUAUCCGCUCCCUAUCCGCACACAGAACUCAUACUCACCACGAUCUAUGGAGGUCGGGAUGUCCACCACCGGGUCAUUUUCUCUGGGUAAAAACCCGUUUCUGGGUCCGAAACCCUUUACACCAUCUCUUAGUAUAUUCAAUUCAGUUAUUUUUAAAUUGCAACAGAGAAGCUGCACGUGUUUUAUAAUGGAGGGUGGCAAAUCGGAUCCUCCAGCUGACAACCCGGCAAAACUCGAAGUGUUACUGGUUGAGAAGGAGACAAGGGAGAGGCUUACUUAUGUUGUCGCGGCAGUUAUGUCUAGUCUUGGAAUUAUUUCUUUGACUGUCUUGGCUGUUUAUUACAAAUUCUCUUACCAAAUGGAGGAGGGUGGAGAAAUUCCUUACCUGGAGAUGUUGGGUACUUUUGCGCUCUCUCUUGGUGCUGCUAUGAGCAUGGAGCUUAUGUCAAAGUGGGUGCACAAAGCCUUGUGGCAUACUUCAUUGUGGCAUAUGCACAAGUCACACCAUAAACCAAGAGAAGGGGUGUUUGAGCUGAACGAUGUAUUUGCAGUAAUGAAUGCAAUUCCAGCAAUUGUUUUGCUGGCCUAUGGUGUCUUCUACAAAGGCCUUUUGCCUGGUAUCUGUUUUGGUGCGGGCCUGGGAUUCACGGUAUUGGGAAUUGGUUACAUAUUUGUCCAUAACGGCCUUGUCCAUAAACGUUUUCCAGUAGGUCCCAUUGUUGAUAUCCCUUACUUCAGAAAAGUUGCUGCUGCUCACCAGGAUGCGGCGGAGAUGAGAACCAAACUCACCUAGCACUAGGAACACCCUUGCCACCGCUCACCACUCCUUGAUUCUCAACCUCCGGUCUUUCAUUGUACGAUAACAAUUAGAAGAUGUGCCAAAUCCAUAAUCUUCCGAGCGGUAGUAAAAGACUUUGUCUAAAUGCAGAUACACAAUUCAUUAUUGCGCUGCUUGGGUGAACUUGUGUGGUCAAAAUAAGGACUUAUUAUAAGUAAAAAACAUUUUUUUGACUUCUUUUGCACUUGAUUGCCUAAAAAGCCAUUGUGAGAAUGAUUUUAGUGCUGCAGCUGCACCACAUGGGAAUGUUCAAAGGAGUCCCCUAUGGGCUGUUUUUGGGUCCUAAGGUAUAUUCAUGCACGUGGUCCUUCCUUUUGCUCUUCUAGCUUCUUCUUUUAUGCUUUUUACACAUGAGGUUAUGGUUAUAUUUACUUGAUUAGUGUGUGUGUAUUGGCACUGAAGUUCAUAUUACCUGUAAGAUAUAUCAGAUUCAAUAGGAAAAAACUGAUUGUCUUUGGUUUUUAAUCGUACUAGACACAAAUAUAUCCUAUGUUUCUUUCUUGUUUUUGUGA
RNA transcript from Daucus carota subsp. sativus, 1837 nucleotides. It is a transcript of the gene named beta-carotene 3-hydroxylase, chloroplastic, with no coding region annotated. Lineage: Eukaryota; Viridiplantae; Streptophyta; Magnoliopsida; Apiales; Apiaceae. The transcript has 7 exons. The record is from RefSeq and is a predicted model, not a curated record.